GAAUGGGGGAACCCGAUUACUUAUAAGUGAAUUCAUAGCUUAUAAGGGCGAACCUAGGGAACUGAAACAUCUAAGUACCUAGAGGAAAAGAUAUUCCGUUAGUAGUGGCGAGCGAACGCGGACCAGGCCAGUGCUACUUUUUACUAAACCAGAACUGUAUGGAAAGGCAGGCCAUAGUGAGUGAUAGCCUCGUAUGGGUAGAUAGUAAGAAAUAGACAUGAGUAGGGCGGGACANGUGAAAUCCUGUCUGAAUAUAGGAAGGCCCUUCCUAAGCCUAAAUACUACUUAGACCGAAGA
Molecule: ribosomal RNA, 297 nt
Filed under: uncultured bacterium
Lineage: Bacteria
Description: partial 23S ribosomal RNA
Rfam family: Bacterial large subunit ribosomal RNA
Source: RNAcentral